AGAGUUUGAUCCUGGCUCAGAACGAACGCUGGCGGCGGGCCUCAUACAUGCAAGUCGAGCGCGAAAGUCCGCAAGGAUGAGUAAAGCGGCGCACGGGUGAGUAACACGUGGAUAAUCUACCCUUUGGAUUGGAAUAACCUGUCGAAAGACGGGCUAAUGCCGAGUAAGCCCUCGGGAGCGUGAAGCUCCUGCGGGGAAAGAUGGCGCAAGCUAUCGCCGAUGGAUGAGUCUGCGUCCCAUUAGUUAGUUGGUGAGGUAACGGCUUACCAAGACAAUGAUGGGUACCUGGUCUGAGAGGAUGACCAGGCACACUGGAACUGAAACACGGUCCAGACUCCUACGGGAGGCAGCAGUAGGGAAUAUUGCGCAAUGGACGAAAGUCUGACGCAGCCACGCCGCGUGAGUGAGGAAGGCCUUCGGGUUGUAAAGCUCUGUCGCCUGGGAAAAACGGCUAUCUGGGGAAAGUUCAGGUAGCGUGAUGGUACCAGGAGAGGAAGCAC
Molecule: ribosomal RNA, 500 nt
Filed under: uncultured bacterium
Lineage: Bacteria
Description: bacterial SSU rRNA
Rfam family: Bacterial small subunit ribosomal RNA
Source: RNAcentral